UGUUUUAAUCUUUAUGUUUUAUUUAUAGAAAGAAACAGGAUUUUGGCGAGCCCUAACUAUUACACAUGAAACCGCAGUAGAGGAGGUUAGCGAAAUGCAGGGCGAUGAGGCCAGGGUCUUGCUAGGCUUCCCUCCCUAUUCCCGCCCCACCCUCUCCCAGGUUAAAGCUGCUUGCAGAAAGAAGGUAUGGGUGUCUCAUUCUGACAUCUUUCCCUUUCACAAAAAGCCUUGUCUUGAGUUCGGGUUCAAGUUGCAAACUGUUUUUUGGCACAGGAUAUUCUUGUAUCUUGUACUGCCAUUCAAUGUGUCUAACCUCACUAUGUGCAUUUUUACUGCAGACCUCAGAAUCUUACACUUACCUUCUGUCCGCUGUUGAUAUCUAUCUUUGGGGGUCAUGCAACAGGAGUGUUGCAUUGGGGAAGGACUUCCAGUGUGUCAAAGAGCUGAAGGCUAAAAAGUUAUUGCUGCUAAUUGCCAAAUGAUUCAAGGGAUGGCCCCACUUCGGUCUGCAGGAUAUGUUGAUCCUGGGUGGGAGCAUGGCAUUGCUCAAGAUGAAA
This is an RNA transcript of Manihot esculenta (cassava), 557 nucleotides long. RefSeq lists it as uncharacterized. NCBI's taxonomy places the organism in Eukaryota, Viridiplantae, Streptophyta, Magnoliopsida, Malpighiales, Euphorbiaceae. The record is from RefSeq and is a predicted model, not a curated record. The transcript has 5 exons.